CCUACGGGCGGCAGCAGUGGGGAAUAUUGCACAAUGGGGGAAACCCUGAUGCAGCGACGCCGCGUGAGUGAAGAAGGAUUUCGGGAUGUAAAGCUCUAUCAGCAGGGAAGAAAAUGACGGUACCUGAGUAAGAAGCCCCGGCUAACGACGGGCCAGCAGCCGCGGGAAUACGUAGGGGGCAAGCGUUAUCCGGAUUUACUGGGUGGAAAGGGAGCGGAGACGGCAGCACAAGUCUGGAGUGAAAUGCCGGGGCUUAACCCCGGAACUGCUUUGGAAACUGUGCAGCUAGAGUGCAGGAGAGGUAAGUGGAUUUCCUAGUGUAGCGGUGUAAUGCGUAGAUAUUAGGAGGAACACCAGUGGCGAAGGCGGCUUACUGGACUGUAACUGACGUUGAGGCUCGAACGCGUGGGGAGCAAACCGGAUUAGAUACCCUGGUAGUC
This 440-nucleotide ribosomal RNA is filed under the name uncultured bacterium. Its description in RNAcentral is "partial 16S ribosomal RNA". It matches the Rfam family "Bacterial small subunit ribosomal RNA", at positions 338 to 795 of the family's 1533-position model. The record is from RNAcentral.